GAAGAAGAAAGCGACCGGCGUCAGGGACCGAACAAAUCCAGCCCUUGGAAAUGCUCGACUUGGAGUUGCUGCGGCUGCUGCGGCUCCUCAUCAUCGUACAGAUUUGGUGUAUGGAACAAAGGAGGCGUCUGCUGGAGGAGCUUAUGGAAUCGAUGGAUAAUAUUCAAGAAUAGCAUAUGCUGCGGCUUCUCUCUUUUUUAAAGUACUUUAUUGAAACGUAAUAAACCUUCUUCUCCUGAAA
This 241-nucleotide long non-coding RNA is filed under the name Dermacentor andersoni. Its description in RNAcentral is "uncharacterized LOC126548132". Lineage: Eukaryota; Metazoa; Arthropoda; Arachnida; Ixodida; Ixodidae. The record is from RNAcentral.